Odontomachus brunneus is the source of this 916-nucleotide long non-coding RNA. RefSeq lists it as uncharacterized. NCBI's taxonomy places the organism in Eukaryota, Metazoa, Arthropoda, Insecta, Hymenoptera, Formicidae. The record is from RefSeq and is a predicted model, not a curated record. The transcript is spliced from 2 exons.
UUACAGCUGUAUGGGAACAAAAUAAACAAUUUCUAUCUCUUCCAAUUUUUCAAGACAGUUUUUACAAAUCGAGUAAAAAAUUAUUGAAACCAAUAUAUUGGUUCCUGUCACGCAUCUGGGAACGUUGUAGCCAAUAAGAGCCAACGUCGAGUGAUGUUGGCAGCGUUGGUGUAGCGAUCGAGCUCAAUCCAGAGAAAAGACAAAGGUGCAUCAGUACUAUAAGAAUCGCUGGCGAUUACAACCCAAAGCUUUGCAAUAGUUUAGAUACAGAAAACGCUAAAAGGUUUGCAACGGUAAAUUAAAAAGGAAACCCAACCCUGACAAUGAUCAGUCUGUGGCCGACGACUGAAAUUUUGUUUGAUUUUUAAUACGUCUAUAUAUAAUUUUUUUUAUUAGACAGCAUUUUAAUAUAUAAUAUUAAGUUUAAAAGUUUAAACAUGGAUGAGCCUAGGACCAACUAAGUACGAUUUCGCAAACGUCGAUCAGGCCUUUUACAUCGCAUUUAAAAUAUUUGAAACAAAGACGAACUGAGAUUAAAGCUUAAUCGACGUUGGUGAAAUCGGUUAUAGUUUCAUUAUUAAAAAAACGCCUACUUUGAUUUUACAAACGUCUCCAUGGCUAUAUUUCUUUUUUCGCGUGAAUACAUUUUAAUAAUCAGAAGUUUAAACGUCGAUGAGUCUGUAGGCGACUAUUUUUAUUUGAAAUGAUUUUGAGAAACGUUUAUAUGCUUUUAUAUAUUUUUUCGCCUUAACAUAUUUUAAUAGCCGCAAGUCGAUCAACCUGUGACCGAUUACUUUUAUUUUUUGUGAUUUGUAAAAACGUUUAUGUCUACAUUUGUCUUGUAUGUUACAGCCUUUUAAUAAUUAUAACUUGAAACAUUUAUUACUAAUAAAAAUUUGUUAUUAUUAUUACUGUA